RNAcentral lists this long non-coding RNA (367 nucleotides) under Rosa chinensis. Its description in RNAcentral is "sRNA RchiOBHm_Chr3g0449241". The record is from RNAcentral. Lineage: Eukaryota; Viridiplantae; Streptophyta; Magnoliopsida; Rosales; Rosaceae.
GGAGGACGAUGGCGACGAUGGAGACCUCGUCGACGUGGUCGGCGUUGAUGAGGUCCUUGAUGAGGGUGCGGGAGUGGAGGAUGCCGGCUUGGAGGUGGUUAAAGUAGAAGUGAUCGGGCUGGGAGAGGUACUUGAGCUGCCAGCGGCGCUGGGCCUGGAGGACGGAGUCGAGGCAGGACCUGAAGCUGCCGUUGUUGAUUCAGGCUACGGUGGGGUCGUGGUAGGAGAAUUCGGCGGCGAUUUCGGAGGGGGUGAUGAAGGAGAGUUUGGGCUUUUUGGAGGCGUGGGUGUUGGAAUCACCGUUCAGGGUGUGGUUGUGGUCGGGGGAGGAGGCCAUUGCUGGGGGAGGAAGAUUUUAGGGUUGGGG